This is a long non-coding RNA of Argentina anserina (silverweed cinquefoil), 1200 nucleotides long. RefSeq lists it as uncharacterized. Lineage: Eukaryota; Viridiplantae; Streptophyta; Magnoliopsida; Rosales; Rosaceae. The record is from RefSeq and is a predicted model, not a curated record. The transcript is spliced from 6 exons.
AUUGCUGGCUAAAUCCUUCUCCCAGAGACACUGAGCCUAAUGCAGACCAAGCAAGUUAUUAACGUGAAGGUCUAUUAGUUUCCGAUCGCUUCUAGUGCUCCAAAUAUCAGAGAGGAUCCAGCAGUGAUUAACAAUCGCCCCACAUUAUAUUUUGGAUUUCUCCAGUAGGAAAGAUGUCGCUUCCAGAGGCAUGCUUUAAGUUGCUCCCAUCCAUUUUGAGGGAAGCGAGUGGGGAAAUCCAAUUCCUUUGAGCCUUGUGCUGGAAAGCUGAGUUCUCUAACUAGGUCAUUGUUCUUCCUGUAUUGCAAAAGGCAUGCAAGAGUUGGUUCGCUGCUCUAGCAUCUAAACCAGAGGUGGGUUCGUCCAUGAAUAUUACGGAUGGAUUCGAAACAAGUUCUACCGCAAUCGUUAGCCGUUUACGCUGUUCAGUUGAUAUACCACCACCACCAGGAAUGAUCUAAAGUUUCUUUUUUCUUGAGACGGCAGAAUCGUUCAUGAGAGAUGAUAGUCCGAGAACUACCUGGAGCUGUGAAAUUGAAAAUUCAAGAACAGAUAUUCCUCUUUGCAUUGCGUCCCCUACAAUUGUCUCAGCACAAAUGUCCAGCCCAAGGAUCUAGAAGAGAAAAGGUUGAAGUGUAUAGGAAUGAAUUAGAACAUGAAUCUUUCAGACUCCAUACCUUCAUAUAAGUGUCAAUGUCUGGUUCUGGGACAAUACCUGCUUGCUUCUCCCUUCGAGUAACUUCUUUCAUGAUAUCUUUAAUGGAAAAAAGCUUCUUAGUUUAAUCUUGCUCGACUAAAAAUUUUGAUGGCUAGAGGUUGGGAAAGAAAAAAUGGAAGAAGAAGUCCUACCAGCUCUGCUUCCAAUACCCUGGCAACGAGAUGAAAAAUCCAGUGCUUCCCUCACAGUCAUCUCAGAAAUAUGCAAGUCAUAUUGACUUAUAUAAGCUGAUGUCUUCUGAGGAACAAACUCGUUCGUCUUAUAACCAUUGUAAGUUAUUUCUCCUUGAACCUAAUAUUUUUUGGACAGGUAUUUAUAAGAUUUUGGUUUAUAUCAUAUAUGAGCUCACUAUUGUGUCUUAGUCAGACACAUAUGUUCCAAAUAGACAUAAAAAUGCCUAUGUUCUUAUUGUCUAUAGAGAACCUUGAGAGAGUGGUUUUGUUUUCCUGCAAGUGCCUGCAAUAAGGUUGUUUUCCCACAGC